Molecule: ribosomal RNA, 446 nt
Filed under: uncultured bacterium
Lineage: Bacteria
Description: partial 16S ribosomal RNA
Rfam family: Bacterial small subunit ribosomal RNA
Source: RNAcentral
CCUACGGGGGGCAGCAGUCGAGAAUCAUUCACAAUGGGGGAAACCCUGAUGGGGCGACGCCGCGUGGGGGAAUGAAGGUCUUCGGAUUGUAAACCCCUGUCAUGUGGGAGCAAAUUAAAAAGAUAGUACCACAAGAGGAAGAGACGGCUAACUCUGUGCCAGCAGCCGCGGAAAUACAGAGGUCUCAAGCGUGGUUCGGAAUCACGGGGCGUAAAGGGUGCGUAGGCUGUUUCGUAAGUCGUGUGUGAAAGGCGCGGGCUCAACCCGCGGACGGCACAUGAUACUGCGAGACUAGAGUAAUGGAGGGGGAACCGGAAUUCUCGGUGUAGCAGUGAAAUGCGUAGAUAUCGAGAGGAACACUCGUGGCGAAGGCGGGUUCCUGGACAUUAACUGACGCUGAGGCACGAAGGCCAGGGGAGCGAAAGGGAUUAGAUACCCUUGUAGUC